This 72-nucleotide transfer RNA is filed under the name Aplidium conicum. Its description in RNAcentral is "transfer RNA-Met (TAT)". Lineage: Eukaryota; Metazoa; Chordata; Ascidiacea; Aplousobranchia; Polyclinidae. The record is from RNAcentral.
UUUUAAUGUAGGUUAUAAUAUUUUAAACCUCAGUGAUUAUACCACUAAAAAACUAUUUUAAGGUCAUUAAAA